GUUGCAAUGGUAAUCCUGCUCAGUAAGAGAGGGACCGCAGGUUCAGACAUUUGGCUCAUCUGCUUGGCUGAGGAGCCAAUGGUGCGAAGCAACCAUUUGUGGGAUUAUGACUGAAUGCCUCUUAAAUCAGAAUCCUGCCUAAACGCUAC
This 149-nucleotide non-coding RNA is filed under the name Lepisosteus oculatus (spotted gar). RNAcentral's name for it is "Eukaryotic large subunit ribosomal RNA". It matches the Rfam family "Eukaryotic large subunit ribosomal RNA", at positions 3010 to 3158 of the family's 3401-position model. The record is from Rfam by way of RNAcentral. Lineage: Eukaryota; Metazoa; Chordata; Actinopteri; Semionotiformes; Lepisosteidae.